UACGUAGGGGGCGAGCGUUGUCCGGAUUUACUGGGCGUAAAGAGCUCGUAGGCGGUUCGAUAAGUCGGACGUGAAAUCUCCACGCUCAACGUGGAGGGGCCGUUCGAUACUGUCGUGACUCGAGUCCGGUAGGGGAGUGUGGAAUUCCCGGUGUAGCGGUGAAAUGCGCAGAGAUCGGGAGGAACACCCGUAGCGAAGGCGGCACUCUGGGCCGGUACUGACGCUGAGGAGCGAAAGCGUGGGGAGCAAACAGG
Molecule: ribosomal RNA, 254 nt
Filed under: uncultured bacterium
Lineage: Bacteria
Description: partial 16S ribosomal RNA
Rfam family: Bacterial small subunit ribosomal RNA
Source: RNAcentral